AUGCAUCUAUUUGACAGACCUGGAGCAGUUACUGUCUGUUGCUACGGUUACAGUGCAAUGCAAGAAAAAAGGGUCCUCGCGCUUUCUGUCUGUCUGAUUGUGGCAGCCAAGAUUGAAUGGGGGAAUACAAAA
This 132-nucleotide small nucleolar RNA is filed under the name Myotis brandtii (Brandt's bat). Its description in RNAcentral is "Small nucleolar RNA SNORA31". It matches the Rfam family "Small nucleolar RNA SNORA31". From Rfam's summary of the family: ACA31 (SNORA31) belongs to the H/ACA class of snoRNAs which are thought to guide the sites of modification of uridines to pseudouridines. ACA31 is predicted to guide the pseudouridylation of U3713 in 28S rRNA and U218 in 18S rRNA. Lineage: Eukaryota; Metazoa; Chordata; Mammalia; Chiroptera; Vespertilionidae. The record is from Rfam by way of RNAcentral.